AGGAGGUGCUCCGGCUGCAGGGCGCAACCACCACAAGCCGGGCGAGGAGGAGGUGGCGCGCCGGCGCCGCCAAGGCAGCGGGUGCGCGCGCGGCCAGGCCAGACCACCAACCCACACAGCACCUCGGAGGGAGUGAACUAUCUAUCGAGUGACGCUCAUAUAGUUUUACUGUCAAUUUGGCCGACAAUUAACCUUAUAGAAUAUAAAACCAAGGGGAGCAGUUAGCUUCUUAGCACUAAUCUGAUUAGUUUCCCGUGUUUUCGUCCUUUUAGUUGCCCAUACUGUUCUUGUUCUUCUCUACUCAUGUGCAGUUCUAUUUAGCUCCAUGGACCUCUCUUCCUCUAUAAACUGAAUGCUGGAUGAUUUAUUCUAAUUAAUUAACCAUCUGGUCCUUGUCGCAGUUUUGCCGGGAGAGGAUAGCCGAGAGGAUAAAGGCCCUGCAAGAACUGGUGCCCAAGUUGAGCAAAGAUAUCAGCUGGAGAACGAGGCACAGAUUGUGCUUGUAGCUAAGCUAGCUUAAUUGGAUUCUUCGAGAUCCAAGUGGUCGAAGACGAUAGCUACAUCACUAAGGGUUUUGGUUGGGAAGCUGCUGCUUUAUUAUUGCAUCAGUCAAUGCUGACCAGGAAUUAAAAUAAGGGCUUCAACAGAUGCCGAUGCAACAAAAAGGAUGGAGCCAUCAGAUGUCAAUGAAAAUGCUUAGUGGAAACAAUGGACUUCUCAGUUUUAACAUGUGCCAUUUAAAAGAUGUUGUAGCUUUCGGGCAUAUCAAACCUUGGAGCUGGAACAUUGGCUUAUCCCAAGAAGAAGCCAGUUUGAUUGUAUAGUACUUGUUGUUUCUCAAGAUUUCAAAGGCACAAUGUAGAGAUAAUUAUUUUCAAGAAAGUUGUUUUCGGGAAACAACUAACUCCAUAUGUUUGACCCAUAUCAUUGUUCAACAUAAUUGUG
Molecule: long non-coding RNA, 945 nt
Organism: Triticum dicoccoides
Lineage: Eukaryota; Viridiplantae; Streptophyta; Magnoliopsida; Poales; Poaceae
Exons: 3
Source: RefSeq, a predicted model, not a curated record